Molecule: ribosomal RNA, 253 nt
Filed under: uncultured bacterium
Lineage: Bacteria
Description: partial 16S ribosomal RNA
Rfam family: Bacterial small subunit ribosomal RNA
Source: RNAcentral
UACAGAGGGGGCAAGCGUUGUUCGGAAUUACUGGGCGUAAAGGGCGCGUAGGUGGCCGACUAAGUCGGACGUGAAAUCCCUUGGCUUAACCAAGGAACUGCGUCCGAUACUGGCUGGCUUGAAUCCGGGAGAGGGAUGUGGAAUUCCAGGUGUAGCGGUGAAAUGCGUAGAUAUCUGGAGGAACACCGGUGGCGAAGGCGGCAUCCUGGACCGGUAUUGACGCUGAGGCGCGAAAGCCAGGGGAGCAAACGGG